This 540-nucleotide unclassified non-coding RNA is filed under the name Juxtiphoma eupyrena. Its description in RNAcentral is "sequence contains 18S rRNA gene, ITS1, 5.8S rRNA gene, ITS2, 28S rRNA gene". The stretch from base 182 to 335 matches the Rfam family "5.8S ribosomal RNA". Lineage: Eukaryota; Fungi; Ascomycota; Dothideomycetes; Pleosporales; Didymellaceae. The record is from RNAcentral.
GUAACAAGGUUUCCGUAGGUGAACCUGCGGAAGGAUCAUUACCUAGAGUUUGCGGGCUUUGCCUGCUAUCUCUUACCCAUGUCUUUUGAGUACUUACGUUUCCUCGGUGGGUUCGCCCGCCGAUUGGACAAUUUAAACCCUUUGCAGUUGCAAUCAGCGUCUGAAAAAAAUUAAUAAUUACAACUUUCAACAACGGAUCUCUUGGUUCUGGCAUCGAUGAAGAACGCAGCGAAAUGCGAUAAGUAGUGUGAAUUGCAGAAUUCAGUGAAUCAUCGAAUCUUUGAACGCACAUUGCGCCCCUUGGUAUUCCAUGGGGCAUGCCUGUUCGAGCGUCAUUUGUACCUUCAAGCUCUGCUUGGUGUUGGGUGUUUGUCUCGCCUUUGCGUGUAGACUCGCCUCAAAACAAUUGGCAGCCGGCGUAUUGAUUUCGGAGCGCAGUACAUCUCGCGCUUUGCACUCAUAACGACGACGUCCAAAAGUACAUUUUUACACUCUUGACCUCGGAUCAGGUAGGGAUACCCGCUGAACUUAAGCAUAUCA